GAACGGGUGAGUAAUACAUAAGUAACCUGCCCUAGACAGGGGGAUAACUAUUGGAAACGAUAGCUAAGACCGCAUAGGUACGGACACUGCAUGGUGACCGUAUUAAAAGUGCCUCAAAGCACUGGUAGAGGAUGGACUUAUGGCGCAUUAGCUGGUUGGCGGGGUAACGGCCCACCAAGGCGACGAUGCGUAGCCGACCUGAGAGGGUGACCGGCCACACUGGGACUGAGACACGGCCCAGACUCCUACGGGAGGCAGCAGUAGGGAAUUUUCGGCAAUGGGGGAAACCCUGACCGAGCAACGCCGCGUGAAGGAAGAAGGUUUUCGGAUUGUAAACUUCUGUUAUAAAGGAAGAACGGCGGCUACAGGAAAUGGUAGCCGAGUGACGGUACUUUAUUAGAAAGCCACGGCUAACUACGUGCCAGCAGCCGCGGUAAUACGUAGGUGGCAAGCGUUAUCCGGAAUUAUUGGGCGUAAAGAGGGAGCAGGCGGCAGCAAGGGUCUGUGGUGAAAGCCUGAAGCUUAACUUCAGUAAGCCAUAGAAACCAGGCAGCUAGAGUGCAGGAGAGGAUCGUGGAAUUCCAUGUGUAGCGGUGAAAUG
Molecule: ribosomal RNA, 601 nt
Filed under: uncultured bacterium
Lineage: Bacteria
Description: bacterial SSU rRNA
Rfam family: Bacterial small subunit ribosomal RNA
Source: RNAcentral